Mycena rosella is the source of this 81-nucleotide non-coding RNA. NCBI's taxonomy places the organism in Eukaryota, Fungi, Basidiomycota, Agaricomycetes, Agaricales, Mycenaceae. The record is from the annotation of a GenBank genome assembly.
AGCAGAAUAGCUCAGUUGGAUAUAGAGCAUCCCCCAUGAUAAAGCAUGAGAAGGUCCUGGGUUCAAAUCCCAGUUCAGCCA